This 809-nucleotide ribosomal RNA is filed under the name uncultured bacterium. RNAcentral describes it as "bacterial SSU rRNA". It matches the Rfam family "Bacterial small subunit ribosomal RNA", at positions 587 to 1395 of the family's 1533-position model. The record is from RNAcentral.
GUCAGAUGUGAAAUCCCCGAGCUCAACUUGGGAACUGCAUUUGAAACUGUCAAGCUAGAGUCUUGUAGAGGGGGGUAGAAUUCCAGGUGUAGCGGUGAAAUGCGUAGAGAUCUGGAGGAAUACCAGUGGCGAAGGCGGCCCCCUGGACAAAGACUGACGCUCAGGUGCGAAAGCGUGGGGAGCAAACAGGAUUAGAUACCCUGGUAGUCCACGCUGUAAACGAUGUCGAUUUGGAGGUUGUGAGCAAGACUGAUGGCUUUCGAAGCUAACGCGUUAAAUCGACCGCCCGGGGAGUACGGCCGCAAGGUUAAAACUCAAAUGAAUUGACGGGGGCCCGCACAAGCGGUGGAGCAUGUGGUUUAAUUCGAUGCAACGCGAAGAACCUUACCUACUCUUGACAUCCAGAGAGCCGAGCAGAGAUGCUUGGGUGCCUUCGGGAGCUCUGAGACAGGUGCUGCAUGGCUGUCGUCAGCUCGUGUUGUGAAAUGUUGGGUUAAGUCCCGCAACGAGCGCAACCCUUAUCCUUUGUUGCCAGCGCGUAGAGGCGGGAACUCAAAGGAGACUGCCGGUGAUAAACCGGAGGAAGGUGGGGAUGAUGUCAAGUCAUCAUGGCCCUUACGAGUAGGGCUACACACGUGCUACAAUGGCGUAUACAAAGAGAAGCAACCUCGCAAGAGCAAGCGGACCUCAUAAAGUACGUCGUAGUCCGGAUUGGAGUCUGCAACUCGACUCCAUGAAGUCGGAAUCGCUAGUAAUCGUAGAUCAGCAUGCUACGGUGAAUACGUUCCCGGGCCUUGUACACACCGCCC